Molecule: long non-coding RNA, 2221 nt
Organism: Nerophis ophidion (straightnose pipefish)
Lineage: Eukaryota; Metazoa; Chordata; Actinopteri; Syngnathiformes; Syngnathidae
Exons: 5
Source: RefSeq, a predicted model, not a curated record
UGAAGCUGAGUUUCUUCAUUUCAUUUUCAUCUAACAAAAGUUUCAAUUAAUGAAAAGACACCUCCAUUAUAAAAUACAAAUUAAUUUGCAGGUGUGCCAGCCUGACGGGACUUUGUCUUUUGGAUGACUGAGUCUUGUAUUCAUCCUAGCAUAGAUUGUCAGGGUUAUGAUGGAAAAUAGGAGAUGGCACUAAUGACAAUAAUAAUAAUAAUAAAACAGGUGUGACUGGCUGUGUGUCCCGACCGCCCACUUCUUGCCAUGAGAUGUAAAGUUGAAGCCUCACCGGUUGUUUUUGCCGACUAAUGUCAGCCACACUGACCUUUGCCUGGCGCAGCAGUCGCACCACGCUGAUGCCCGUGGAUGCCAGCUCUCUGCUGGGCAUGCUCUGAAGGUAGGCACACACACACACCUCACACAGGUGCUGCAGGCGCUUCACCUGGUACAUCUCUGCACACACCAGCACGGCCAUGGCCUGCAACACACUGGCUGUGCACGCACGCACGCACGCACGCACGCACGCACGCACGCACGCACGCACGCACGCACGCACGCACGCACGCACACACACACACACACACACACAGUGUAAGAUGCGAGGUGAGGAAAGAGGUCCACCAUGUUGAGGUCCAGCAGGCUCAACACGUCACUAAAAGUUCUCUAAAAAUGUCUCCCAGCACACAAACACUUUUUAUUCCACUUCCCUUUGAAUAGUCACAGCUGCUGCCAAGAGUAGACCGCCACAAUAAAGGUCUAAUAUCACACACUCUUUACAUUAAUACAUUUGUUUAUUGACAAAUUAAACACAAAUAUAUCAAACCCCCCACAAAUUAAAGUACUAUAUACACACACACAUAUAUACUGUAUAUGUAUAUAUAUAUAUAUAUAUAUAUAUAUAUAUAUUCAGGGUUCCCUACACAUUCAUUUAUUUGUGGCGGCCUGCUACGAAAGAAUUACAGCCACCACAAACAGAUUUUUCGGCUUUUGACUCACUCAACCGCUCAUAAAAGCAAUGGGACUCUGUCUGUGAAUGCAGCUUGUAGUUACAACUCCGGUGCAGUAGGUGGCGGUAGCCUACUAUGCAUUGUAACUCCGCCAAUUACACUUAAUUCACCUGGUGGGUCAAAAGAAGAAGAAAACAACAACGAUGACGACGGCGAAGUAAAGGAAUAACGGACCGACCGGAUCAAAAUACGAGGGACCGGGGCGGACACAAGCAGUAACAGUCACCUGUUACCAUAGCAACGAGCUAACAUGUGCAGGUCAUCCAGCCUUGCCUAAGUGGCCUGGAAACAACCUUCACCUGGGGUUCCAUGACCUGGACAUACUUGGGGCUUUCAGUGUCUUUGGACCUAAAUCGGCUGCUCUGCAAGAUGACUCUGCUAACAUCGACAAUCUGAGGAUUCUUGCCAGAAAAUUCUGCCCUGAGCAACAGAAUGAGGUCCUGCAGGAGUGGACUUCAUUUAAGAACCAUGAGAUUACUGGGGCAUUCAAGGACAAGAACCAGGCUGACAUCCUUGCUCUGCUGGCAAGUGAGUUGGAGGAGUGGGAUCAUGUCUACUCUGGUCUCAGCUUCCUAGCAGGCAUGGCCUUGGUGAUCCCUGUUUCAAGUGUUAAUUGUCAACGGGAUUUUUCUACUCUGAAAAGGGUGAAAACAGACCUGAGGAAUCAUCUGCAAGGAGAACACCUGGAUGCCUGCCUGAGAAUCUCCAUCAACGGACCUGACCACAAGGACUUUCCUUACGCUAUUUUUUUCAGAAGCCCUGAACAAUUAAUUGUCCUAAAAAAGGGAGCAAAGUGUGCAGGCAGUAAGAAACACUUGGUUGAGUGGAGGCAGUAAAACUGAUGGCAGUCUAAACUUCAAGAUUCUUGGAGUGGGCUUUAAGAGACAUUUUAGCUUUUAUAUUUUAUAAGAUUAUAUAUUUUUUGUAAGAACCACAAUUAAUAAAUAUAUUUCAGUGAAUAACUAAUUGUUCAAAUCUGUAUAUAAAUAUGUACAUAAACUAUAUUCCAACUCUGUGUUCUUCUUGGUCAUCGCCGCCGAUACAAAUAAAAAUGUUCAUUCCAGCAGAUGAAAAAGACGAGUUAUUUUCCAGGGAAAAGUGUAGUUUGCAUGCAGUUCACAUACCCGGACAGCAGGAGUCAGUGUAGAGAUACUCCAGGAAGGACAGGAAGGUGUCUGAGGAGACGCCAUGGAUGGGAACAACUCGACUGCGGGCCUCGG